Molecule: ribosomal RNA, 467 nt
Filed under: uncultured bacterium
Lineage: Bacteria
Description: partial 16S ribosomal RNA
Rfam family: Bacterial small subunit ribosomal RNA
Source: RNAcentral
GACGAACGCUGGCGGCGUGCUUAACACAUGCAAGUCGAACGGAGAGGCCCUGCUUUUGUGGGGUGCUCGAGUGGCGAACGGGUGAGUAACACGUGAGUAACCUGCCCUUGACUUUGGGAUAACUUCAGGAAACUGGGGCUAAUACCGGAUAGGAGCUCCUGCUGCAUGGUGGGGUUGGAAAGUUUCGGCGGUUGGGGAUGGACUCGCGGCUUAUCAGCUUGUUGGUGGGGUAGUGGCUUACCAAGGCUUUGACGGGUAGCCGGCCUGAGAGGGUGACCGGCCACAUUGGGACUGAGAUACGGCCCAGACUCCUACAGGAGGCAGCAGUGGGGAAUAUUGCACAAUGGGCGGAAGCCUGAUGCAGCAACGCCGCGUGCGGGAUGACGGCCUUCGGGUUGUAAACCGCUUUCGCCUGUGACGAAGCGUGAGUGACGGUAAUGGGUAAAGAAGCACCGGCUAACUACGUG